Molecule: ribosomal RNA, 760 nt
Filed under: uncultured bacterium
Lineage: Bacteria
Description: bacterial SSU rRNA
Rfam family: Bacterial small subunit ribosomal RNA
Source: RNAcentral
CCUAACACAUGCAAGUCGAACGGUAACAGGAAGAAGCUUGCUUCUUUGCUGACGAGUGGCGGACGGGUGAGUAAUGUCUGGGAAACUGCCUGAUGGAGGGGGAUAACUACUGGAAACGGUAGCUAAUACCGCAUAACGUCGCAAGACCAAAGAGGGGGACCUUCGGGCCUCUUGCCAUCGGAUGUGCCCAGAUGGGAUUAGCUAGUAGGUGGGGUAACGGCUCACCUAGGCGACGAUCCCUAGCUGGUCUGAGAGGAUGACCAGCCACACUGGAACUGAGACACGGUCCAGACUCCUACGGGAGGCAGCAGUGGGGAAUAUUGCACAAUGGGCGCAAGCCUGAUGCAGCCAUGCCGCGUGUAUGAAGAAGGCCUUCGGGUUGUAAAGUACUUUCAGCGGGGAGGAAGGGAGUAAAGUUAAUACCUUUGCUCAUUGACGUUACCCGCAGAAGAAGCACCGGCUAACUCCGUGCCAGCAGCCGCGGUAAUACGGAGGGUGCAAGCGUUAAUCGGAAUUACUGGGCGUAAAGCGCACGCAGGCGGUUUGUUAAGUCAGAUGUGAAAUCCCCGGGCUCAACCUGGGAACUGCAUCUGAUACUGGCAAGCUUGAGUCUCGUAGAGGGGGGUAGAAUUCCAGGUGUAGCGGUGAAAUGCGUAGAGAUCUGGAGGAAUACCGGUGGCGAAGGCGGCCCCCUGGACGAAGACUGACGCUCAGGUGCGAAAGCGUGGGGAGCAAACAGGAUUAGAUACCCUGCUAGUCC